RNAcentral lists this long non-coding RNA (425 nucleotides) under Calidris pugnax (ruff). RNAcentral's name for it is "lncRNA (ENSCPUG00000010646.1)". Lineage: Eukaryota; Metazoa; Chordata; Aves; Charadriiformes; Scolopacidae. The record is from RNAcentral.
GGAACGUUUCUUACAACCCAUUCGUGACGACGGUCGUCGCCGGAGCCCCCCGAUUCCCGCCUGGCGAUCCCCCCAACCUACGCAGGACUCAGUGGAGCCUUCCUGGAAGAAAUUUCAGCCGUCUCAUUUUGCUGACCUUGACAUGAUGCCAACCUGAGGGCAAAGAAGUUGCAAUAUCCUGCGGUGCAUCCAUGUAGCAAGGCCAAUUGGACCAUCAGUGGAUUCCCUGUGUGCACAGGUCACAAGCUCUCAAAUCGUUUCCAGGUAAAAAUCACUGCUUCUGAUUUAAAUUCGUUUCUGUGUGCAUUUAUGAACAAAGGAAAAGAGCUGACUGUCAGAGCAGGUGGUCAAGAGGUUUCUUAUUGAUGAAGUGUUCCUCAAGUUGAGUAAUAUAGUUGGAGACAAUAUUACCAGUUUUGCUUGUA